Molecule: long non-coding RNA, 785 nt
Organism: Myxocyprinus asiaticus (Chinese sucker)
Lineage: Eukaryota; Metazoa; Chordata; Actinopteri; Cypriniformes; Catostomidae
Exons: 3
Source: RefSeq, a predicted model, not a curated record
GUCGGAGUCACAUUGGUGUGACGUCACCUCCCAUCUUCGAAUAAUUGGCUAGAGGAUGAGCUGUCCAUCAAGAACUAGUGGACCAAUGGGGACGCAAAAUGCCCCCUGAUUUACAUGAAACUCUACUCGCAAGUUUUGGAAAACCAAGCGCAGAAAUUGGAAACAAAAGCAAAGAAAAAUACAGCAUUUGUUCUUGCAAUGCCACAACAAAUUACAGGGAUGCAAACUCAAGAAGGGCGAAAAAGAGGCUGGAGUUUGUUUUGAGGAGGAACACACCUUCGGGACAGUUAUGUGGAUAAAUCUACACGUUUUUUGUGUUUAUCCUGCCUGUUGGCUGGAGUUUGUUUUAUAGAUUAUCUUCUGUUGUGUAAUUGUGUCUUACAAAAUUUUUAUAGAAACACCGGACUUGAGCAAUCCGACAGCAAAGUUGUUGCUGGGGAUCUUGUAGGUGUAACUGGACUGUUUGAGCUUAGAGGGAUGGAUGCCGGUUGGCACUGUCAUGCACGGGGUUAAUGUGCACGUUUUUCUUUUUGUUUGGUUUGGGGGAGGUUCGGGUUUGAUUGUUGCACUAAUGUGGAAUGUGAUUAUCAUUUUAUUUUUUACACACAAUCUAUUUUUUCUAAUAUGUCAAAAUGUCAAAUGUUAGUAUGAGUGGAUUGUCUCUCUCCACAUGGAAUGUGAAAGGGUUGGGGCACCCCAUAAAAAAGAAGGAAAGAUAUUUUUCUUCUUAAACGAUAGAAAUAUGAUAUAGUGUUUCUUCAAGCAAUGCAUCUUUCCCUGCAGGA